Molecule: long non-coding RNA, 463 nt
Organism: Lutra lutra (Eurasian river otter)
Lineage: Eukaryota; Metazoa; Chordata; Mammalia; Carnivora; Mustelidae
Exons: 3
Source: RefSeq, a predicted model, not a curated record
CUGAGCCACACAGGCAUCCUCGCACAUCUCUACUUGGACUGGCCACAUUUUCAGUGCUCAGUGGACAUGAAGCAGAACAGAGCAGUACUGUGUUGGGUACUGAGGACAUACAGAAGGGGACAAAAUGGACAAGGCCUCUGUACUUACAUCAGGCUAGCCCAGGCCUGCUCUCCUUGUGGAGGCAGGGAUCCAAGAAAGAAUGUGGAAUCAUUCAAGUUUUCGUAAGACUCAAGCUCAGAGCUUUAUCUCUUCUGCCAUGUUCUUUGGGCCAACCCAAGUUACAAGUUACAGCCCAGAUUCUUCCAGGAGCUGCAAAGUCACACUACAAAAGGUGUGCAUACAGGGAGGGAUGGAAAAUUCAGGUGAUUUUUGUGAUUGAUCUUCUGUAUUACUUAAAAAGCUUUCAAUUCCACCAGGAAGUUAUAAAAAAAAUUCCAAAUUUCUAUGUGCCCAAUAAAAUAUA